GUCAUUUCCCCUCUCUUUAAUCUAUAUAAAAAUAUAUUAGAUACAUUGGAUGAUACAAUUGGAUGAUUCAACUUGAAUGAUUGAGCAUUGGAUGCUAGAUGGGUAGGGUAGGAGUGUUGGCUAGCAAUAAUCUAUCAAUAAUUCAACUAAUAAUACACUAAUAAACCAAAAGGGCAUUUUGGUAAUUUCGCAUAAAAUUUCAAGGGCAUUUUGUACAUAGCAAUUAAAUGUAGUAUUUAAUCACUAGAGGGUAAUU
This 256-nucleotide long non-coding RNA is filed under the name Panax ginseng (ginseng). RNAcentral describes it as "long non-coding RNA (PGIN_LNC017036)". The record is from RNAcentral. Lineage: Eukaryota; Viridiplantae; Streptophyta; Magnoliopsida; Apiales; Araliaceae.